AAAAAACAAAAAUGGAUUGCCAACCUCCCCUACCAUAGAGUGUCUAACUCAGAAGCAUGAACUGGCGUGGCAUAUGCCUGUUGCCUAUGUAUAGUUUCUCAGUAUAAAGCUUUUCUGAAUUGUCAGAUUCUGUGGACAUUUGGAGGCUAGGAGGUAAGAUUCCAAAACCAGCAUGUCAACCAAAGCCAAUAAUAAGGCCUCUCAAAUACCUACCACAUAUCUGAAGAGAAACUUUUAACAGUUUUCACUAUAUAUUUAAAACAAAAAGUCAGAAGAGUAAAAAAGUCCCAUUUUAAACUGUAUAUAUACCAUCUUAAUUCUUGUGUUGGACUAUAGUAAAUAACAAAUUCAGGCCAGGUAAUCCCAAUACUUUGGGAGGCUGAGGUGGGAGGAUCCUUUGAGCCAAGGACUUUGAGACUAGCCUAAGCAACACAGAGAGAUCCCUGUGUCUACAAAAAAAAUAA
This is a long non-coding RNA of Homo sapiens (human), 464 nucleotides long. The record is from Ensembl. Lineage: Eukaryota; Metazoa; Chordata; Mammalia; Primates; Hominidae.